GGCUGCCGCGGGGACCCCGGGCCGGGCUGGGCUGGGCUGGAGGCGGGCCCGCGGCUGC
Molecule: microRNA precursor, 58 nt
Organism: Ochotona princeps (American pika)
Lineage: Eukaryota; Metazoa; Chordata; Mammalia; Lagomorpha; Ochotonidae
Source: Ensembl